GUGGGGAAUAUUGGACAAUGGGCGAAAGCCUGAUCCAGCCAUGCCGCGUGUGUGAAGAAGGUCUUCGGAUUGUAAAGCACUUUAAGUUGGGAGGAAGGGCAUUAACCUAAUACGUUAGUGUUUUGACGUUACCGACAGAAUAAGCACCGGCUAACUUCGUGCCAGCAGCCGCGGUAAUACGAAGGGUGCAAGCGUUAAUCGGAAUUACUGGGCGUAAAGCGCGCGUAGGUGGUUCGUUAAGUUGGAUGUGAAAGCCCCGGGCUCAACCUGGGAACUGCAUCCAAAACUGGCGAGCUAGAGUACGGUAGAGGGUGGUGGAAUUUCCUGUGUAGCGGUGAAAUGCGUAGAUAUAGGAAGGAACACCAGUGGCGAAGGCGACCACCUGGACUGAUACUGACACUGAGGUGCGAAAGCGUGGGGAGCAAACAGGAUUAGAAACCCGUGUAGUCC
This 450-nucleotide ribosomal RNA is filed under the name uncultured bacterium. Its description in RNAcentral is "partial 16S ribosomal RNA". It matches the Rfam family "Bacterial small subunit ribosomal RNA", at positions 354 to 796 of the family's 1533-position model. The record is from RNAcentral.